GAGCUCCCCAGCCCUGGGAAACGGUCUGGGUUUAAGUGCUAGUUCUGCAUCUCCACGCGCACGCAUGGCGGUUGCAAGACCGGCUUCAGUCCCCACUGGUGUCCAUGCGAGAUGGUGCCCUUAAGAGGCCGGAUCCUUCAGACCAGCCCAGAAGGAUUCCUUUAGAAACCAGUGUUACAGAACAUCACGGAGGGAAGCCAAGCCAGGAACUCCAGGCAGGAGAUUGAAGCAGAAACCACAGAGGAAUACUGCUUAGGAGCAUGCUCUUUCUGGCUUGCUCAACUUGCUUUCUUAAACGGCCCAGACCCCACUUGCCUAGCAAUGGCACUGCCCACAGUAGGGAGGACACGCCCACCAUAGACCAAUCUCAUGUUCCUCAGCUAAGGUUCCCUCUUCCCAAGUGAUUCUAGUUUUUUGUGGAAAUGAAAAACAAAAACAAAAAUAACUUAACCAAUAUACAGGACCUCACUAUGUAGUAUAGGCUGGCCUCGAUCUCAAAGUAAUUCACCUUUCUCAGACUCCUUCGAGCUACGAUUACAGGUAUGCACCAACCACACCGAGCCUGGACUCAUCUUUCAGACACAUGAUGACAGGGUUUCUCUGUAGCCCUGGCUGUCCUGGAACUCACUCUGUAGACCAGGCUGGGCUCAAACUCAGAAAUCCGCCUGCCUCUGCCUCCCAAGUGCUGGGAUUAAAAGCCUGGCAGCAAAGUGCUAAGAAUACAUUGAGUGUUCAGCCUUAAGUAAAACAUCUGUAUCACCUGCUCCAAGACUUUGGAACAUUGCAGAAGAAGAGAGAGAAAUGAUGUAAGAGCCAGAGGACAGGACAGACUUGUGUGAAACACUGUCUUCUGAACGUGAAAGAGGAACUUCUCGUUCAAACCACCACAAGUAGGUCCAAAGCAACAAGGCCCAACAACCAUGAACUGACAACUUUAAGACUGUGAAACAAAAAUAAGCACCCCUGCCUUUCGUACUGACUGUUUCAGCCCAGGCCUUCCUCUCUGAUGCUGCAGUGAAUCUUCUAAGUCAGCCCAGGACUUACAGUGCCUCCACAUGAUAAGCAUGCUAAAGGCUCUGGUCUCUUCUCCCAGGCACCUGGAAUCAUGACUGUCUGUAGCAUGAACUCUUUUCCCUCCCCUUGUACUUACUUCAAACAAACAAACAGAAAACUAUGUCUGUCUUGGGAAGUGUUCUUGAUUCCCAACUCCUGUUCUACUUAUUGGAUUACAGUUCAUCUAUCAAGAAUCAACCCCAAGGGCAAAGGACACCAGAACAGCCCUACCCUGGACUUCCUGCUGCGUGCAUUGGCAUUGUCUACCAAGGAGGUUGCACCUGCCAUUCAGUGAGCUCGUGGAGGGAGACACAUCCCUCCAAUAUUUUUUUUAAAACUUGGUUGCUUUUUACAUUUUUGUUUGAUUGUCUGAUUACUUUCAGACAUAGUCUCACUAAACUUGCCAAGCUGGCCUUGAAUUCAUACAGUAGUCCAGACCGGCCCAGAGCUUGAGCUAUUACUCCCUCCUCCCCAAGACAGCUGUGAUCAGACCCAGCUGCCACCAGACCCAGCUUCUAAGACUGGGUUAGCAAGAAUAGCAUCAGAAAAACAGACACACACACAGUAUGGUGGCACACACCUCUCAUCCCAGCACUCAAAAAGACUGAGACAGGGCGAUCACUUGAAUCCAGGGUUGGAGACCCUGAGUCACAUGCAGAGACUCCAUCUCAGAAGAGAAAAGGAGCAGUUUCCCAAAGUCAUUGCUAUUAAAAUAAAACUUAUUAUUCUGACCAUACCUCUCACACUUUGCCCACUGUAAACAAUGAAAUGCAAGAAACUGAAAAACAUGAGAUGCAGAUUUUCAGGGUUUGGUUUUUUUUUUUUAGGGUUUUUUUUAAUGCAUAUUUGUUGUUGUUGUUGUUGUUGUUGUUGUUUUACCUGUGUGAAUGUGUGUCUUUUUUUUUUUUUUUACCAUGUGUAUGUCUGGUAUCUGCAGAGGCCACACAGGCCACUGCAUUGCCUGGGACUGGAGUUUCAGACAGUCAUGAGCUACCAUGUAGGUUCUGGGAUGUGAGUCCUCUGCAAGAACAGCAAGUGCUCUUAACAGUUGAGCCAACUUUCCAGGUCCAGGUGGACAUAUUUUAAUGUAUUAUAUUAUUAUGCUUGCACUGAAUGUUACAGAAAAAAAAAAGUUACAUUUUCUAAAUAGAGAGAUAGCAACUGGAGAGAAGGCUGAGUGGCUAAGAGCACUUGUUGCUCUUGUAGAGAACUCAGAUUUGGUCCCCAGUGUCCACACUAGGAACCACAACUCCAAUUCCAAUGGAUCAGAUGGCCUCCCUCUUCUGACCUCCUCAGGCACAAGGCAUCUGUGUGGUGCCAGGACAUACCUGCAGACAAAACACUCAUACACAUAAAAAUAAGUAAUCUGACUUAAAAGUACAAAAUAAAACCAUAAAAUGUCAGCCAGUGAUCCCCCCGAAUUAAAAGAAUGAAGAGAGAUAGGCCUAAGCCACAAUCAUAGCUUAUUAAGCCAGAAAUUAUUUUUCAUCUUCAUGUUCCAGCUGAGGGCAAGUCUAGAGAUCAGAAGAUCUGAAAAUCAGACGAGUAGCAAGGAGUUGUUUUUAAAAAGUUUCUGAUUCUCUGGUAUCAUUUCAGGUACUUGAUAGAAUAUGCAUUCCCUAUAAACAAGAGUCUCACCCAUCCUUCUUGGCCUCCUCGAUCGACUUCUUUCUUUUUUUUUUUUAAUUUUAUUUAUUUAUUUUAUGUAUAUGAGUACACUGUAGCUGUACAGAUGGUGGUGAGCCUUCAUGUGGUUGUUGGGAAUCAGAUAUAGAACCUCUGCUUGCUCUGGUCAACCCCGCUCACUCAGUCUCUGCUCACUCAGGCCCAAAGAUUUAUUUAUUACUAUAAAUAAGUAAGUACACUGUAGCUGUCUUCAGACACACCAAAAGAGGGCGUCAGAUCUCAUUAUGGGUGGUUGUGAGCCACCAUGCGGUUGCUGGGAUUUGAACUCAGGACCUUCAGAAGAGCAGUCAGUGCUCUUACCCACUGAGCCAUCUCACCAGCCCGGACUUCUCCUUUCUUGCCUCUUGGUACUGGACAUGUUGUGCAGGUAACACCCUCUCUGACCUAAAAAGCCUCAGUCUGGGGGAUACUUCCCAGAUGUCACUGUCCUGAAGGGGGGGCCUUGGAGAGCCUCAGAUCCCAAAUGGGAGGCUCCAGCCGACCUGAAUCUCUACCCAUUCCCCCACAAAGAUCACUUACAUACACAUGGUAAAAAAGACUGCUCGAGACUUUUGAUCUCAUUACUGCCAUGAGACUUGCAAGUGAUGGAAUAUAGGAGCCCCAAGUCCGACAUUUUUUAAUUCAGUGAUUUUAUUUAAUAGCAGCAAAUCUUAUUGUGAUCUUCUCUUGGACUCCUUUCAUUCUAGUUUAAAAGAUGAAGCUGCUGGAAUCCAACUGAUGGUCAGAAAAAAAAAAAAAAAAACACAAAACACAAAGUCCCUGGAUAAUAUGGAUCUUUGCCAGACCUCAGUAAUGUUUACUAUAGCCACCUCUUACUCUUUCAGGUACUCAAAAGAGCACUUGAGUCCAGACGUGGUAACGCAUACCUUUGACCCUGACACUCAGGAAACAGUGGCAGGUAAAUCUCUGUGAGUUUGAGGCUAGCCUAGUCUAUAUAGCAAGGUCCAGGCCAGCCAGAGUUAUAUAAUAAGACUGUCUUAAAGUUUUAAAAAGUGCACUUGAAUCCUAAUUCAUUUAGCAGUCAUUUAGCCAACAUUAGACACACAGAGAUUAUAAGAGGAGAAGGCCAUUCUGCUGUCAGGGUACUUAGACUCCGCCGUGCCAAGUCACCCAGCUGAACCUGGAACACAUAUCACAAACAAAAUGGUGACAGCUCAGAAGGAGGGAAUCCUUCCAAGCUCUGUGGUAACUGAAGAAGGAAACGCAUCAGGGAAGGCUUCGGGCAGAAUGUACAGAGGUGAAGAGCGAGCAGGUGUGAGACCUUUGGUCAGUUUAGUCAAUGAGCAUGAUAUUGAAAACUCAUGAUUUAUUUGGCUGGAACCUACAAAUACUUGGGUGAAUGUAGGGGAAACGGGUAGGGAAGUCUGUCAAGUCUAAAAACAUGGAAGGGUUUGAGGAUCUUGUUUUGUGUGAAAAUAGGUCUUAGGAGGAUUAUGUGAGUUAGAAGUAAAAGCAAUAUAAGUCAUGAGCUUAGGAGAUGAGACUGGAGACAGAAAGGCCCACUAAGGAGUUAUUUAAAUCAGACAGUGAAGAAAUGACAGCUAUUCUAAGUGUAUAGAAGUUCACCGCAAUGCAUCCACUUUGGGUCUGGUUAAUUCUGUAUGAGAUAUGUAUUUUAUUUGCAGGUCUUUUUGAUGAUAAAGUUAUAAACAAAAAUAAAUAAAUACAUCCAGUCCAGGAGCCCCAGUCUGUUCCUGCAUUGGAGUGCCCCCAAAAAGGAUCAGGAAAUUUCUUGGAGCAGAAUAAUGCAUCUUAGUGUUGGGGUUUAGGGAUCACCACACCAGCCAUACAGACACUGGUCUUAGUUAAGCAGGAAUAGUUUACUGAACGCACACCCUAUAGUGGUUGGACCAGAGACAUAGCUCAGAAUUAUCUGAAUUAUGAUAUCAUACAUUUCUCAGAGCAGGCUUUUUAUGGGGAAACAAAACAGAUUCAAAUGUUUAAAAAGCAAGGAGCAAUAUUACAUUUUGGCUUACUAGACAAAGUAUUAUCAGCUAACCUUUGAGCUGGCUGGUCCUGAGUGAGUUAAGAGGAGUAGUGGAUGGGUGGUGAACAUUUUAGAACAUUGAAAUAACAGAGUAUGAGUGUUAUAAUCAUCACUUUUCGGCUUAUUAGUAACAUUCUUCAGUGUCAGCCACAAGAACUACAGUGAGCUCAUCUGCAGAUGCAGGAAGUGCAGCCUGGCGGUCAGCUCUGACUCAAGAUAUUUUAGACCUAACAAUUCAUAUUGAACUUUGAUUUGAUGGGUCCUACGUAAAGCUUUGUGGAAUGUCUUAAGACUAACAAACCUCACAACAUCCUGAACAUAACAGGAGAUGUGGUCCGCAUGAUCCUUCUCUCAGUCAAGUAAUUAAUUUUUCUAUGUCAAUGAUUAGGCAGAUUACAACAACAACAAUAUGAAAUAGCUGUCAGGCAUGGAACAAAAUGGCUACGGCUAUGCUGUGGGGAGGGAAGGUCAGACCAUAACAGUAUAUAAACUUGAUCUUGGGAGUCCUACAGUAAGAGGGAACUUGGGAGUGUCUAGAGAGAUGGCUGAGUGGUUAAGGACACUUUCUGCUCUUUUAGAGGAUCUGAGUUCUCCAGCACCCAUACAAGGACCUAAAUUUAGUUCCCAGUACCCAUUCAGUUCACUGGAAGUUAGAGGAUGAACUCCAGGGGUCUGACACCCUCUCCAAAGACACACAUAUACAUGUGGCAUAUCCACACACAUUCACAUACACCUAAAUAAACAAAUUUAUUUUUAAACAUGUAAGUUGGUUUGAUCCAGUGUCUAACUUAUUUGAUCAAAGCACCACCACCGUUAUUAUAGAACACCUAUUAACAGUAGGCAGAAAAUGAAUGUAAAGCAGGGCAUAGUUUGUAAAAUGAGGCUUCGGUACAAAGCAAUGAGGUUCUGAGCUAGGACAUAAAAUGGAGCAGCCAGUCCUAGGCAUUUGAAAUCUACGAUAUUUCAAGUACAGUAUUUCCUCAGUUUAGUUAUUCCCUUUAUGGUCUCUAUGUAGAUAAAGCCAAAGCUGAGAGUUUGGGAGCCAUUUGAGGAACUGAAAACAUUAAAACCUUUGUGUUGGUAAGAGUGAGUAGGGUGCUGGGGUCCACACCUUGAAUCCCAAGCAGAGGCAGGUAGAUUUCUGAGUUCAGUGUCAGCCAGAGCUAAAUAGUGAAACACUGCCUCAAGCCCCCACCCCCUCAAAAAUAAUAAUAUUCCUAAAACAAGAUGAGAACAUUAUAAAAAAUAUAAUUAAAAGAAAAAGAAGCCGGGCGGUGGUGGCACACGCCUUUAAUCCCAGCACUUGGGAGGCAGAGGCAGGAGGAUUUCUGAGUUCGAGGCCAGCCUGGUCUACAGAGUGAGUUCCAGGACAGCCAGGGCUACACAGAGAAACCCUGUCUGAAAAACCAAAAAAAAAAAAAAACCAAAAAAAAAAAAAAAAAAAAAAAAGAAAGAAAGAAAGGAAGGAAGGAAGGAAGGAAGGAAGGAAGGAAGGAAGGAAGAAAGAAAGAAAGAAAGAAAGAAAGAAAGAAAGAAAGAAAGAAAGAAAGAAAAGAAGGAAGAAAGAAAGGAAAGGAAAGAAGAGAAAAGAAAAGAGAAAGAAAAAGAAAAAGAAAGAGAAAAAGAAAAAGAAAAAGAAAAAGAAAAAGAAAAAGAAAAAGAACAAGGUCUGAUGUCUUAUACCUGAAAUCCCAGCACAAGGAGGAGGGCCAAGGGUUCAAGGCCAGCCUGGGCAACAUUGUGAGUUCUAAGCCGUCAGGAUACAAACUGAGACCUUGUCUCAAUAAAGAACUAGAAAAAGAAAAGGAGAAGAGGAGGAAAAAGAAAGAAUUUCAAGUAAUGAAUAAACUUAAAACUAAUAUAAGUAUACUGGAAUAUAAAAUUGGGGAACACCCCCCCAAAAACUAAGCAAACAAAAUGACGAGGUAUAGGACAGUAUCUUAUCCUAGGUGGGCUGCUUUGAGACAACAGUCUCACAUAGUCUGGAUGGCCUAGAAUUCAAGAGGGAGUGACUUACACUCCCAAUCCUCCUGCCUCUACUCACCAAUGCUGGAAUUACAGGCAUGUACCACUUUAAUAUAUAUCAAAUAUAUAUAUUUAUAAAAUAUAUUUUCAGUGGUCUCAUUAUGUAGCCAAGGCCAUCCUGGAACUCACAAUGUAGUGUAGGUUGACCUAAAACUAUCAUUCUUCCUGCCUUAGUUAGUUAGCCUCUAGAGCAAUGUUUCUCAACCUGUGGGUUGUGACUCCUUUCACAGAGGUCACCUAAAACCAUUGGAGAAAACAGAUAUUUACAUUACAAUACACAACAGUGACAAAACUGUAAUUAUGAAGGAGUAGCAGCAAUAAUUUUAUGGCUGGGAGCUGCCAUAACCUGGGGAACUAUCUCAAAGGGCGGUGGCACUAAGAAGGUUAGGAACUGCUGCUCUAGA
Molecule: long non-coding RNA, 7155 nt
Organism: Mus musculus (house mouse)
Lineage: Eukaryota; Metazoa; Chordata; Mammalia; Rodentia; Muridae
Product: predicted gene, 40884
Exons: 5
Source: RefSeq, a predicted model, not a curated record